RNAcentral lists this ribosomal RNA (254 nucleotides) under uncultured bacterium. RNAcentral describes it as "partial 16S ribosomal RNA". It matches the Rfam family "Bacterial small subunit ribosomal RNA", at positions 524 to 776 of the family's 1533-position model. The record is from RNAcentral.
CACGUAGGGCGCAAGCGUUGUCCGGAAUUAUUGGGCGUAAAGAGCUCGUAGGCGGUGUGUCGCGUCGGCCGUGAAAACCUGCAGCUUAACUGUGGGCGUGCGGUCGAUACGGGCAUCACUGGAGUUCGGCAGGGGAGACUGGAAUUCCUGGUGUAGCGGUGAAAUGCGCAGAUAUCAGGAGGAACACCAGUGGCGAAGGCGGUGCUCUGGGCCGGAACUGACGCUGAGGAGCGAAAGCGUGGGGAGCAAACAGG